Molecule: long non-coding RNA, 1153 nt
Filed under: Salvia miltiorrhiza (redroot sage)
Lineage: Eukaryota; Viridiplantae; Streptophyta; Magnoliopsida; Lamiales; Lamiaceae
Description: long non-coding RNA (SMIL_LNC007845)
Source: RNAcentral
UAAACACGCGAUAUUAACAAAACCCGGGAGUUGUUUUUAUUUAAAAACGCAAUACAAUAUUACAGAUAUAGAAAUUCCAAGACAAGAAUUAUUGCUUCUGUUUAUACUUCACUUUACAAACCCCUAUUUUUCUAUCUAUCUACCAGUACUAAAAAAAAAAAAAGAAUAGUGUAUGUGUGUGAAGAAAAUCUGCAGCUAUCCCUUAAGCAUGCUCAAGCAUGCUCAGCCACCUAUUGACAUUUUUUUUUUGACUCCAGCUCCAGCAGCAUAUCUGCAAAAUUUUCACACCCGAACACCUUCAUUGGUUUCAGUUUGCAGCAAGCUAAAUCUCAAGCAUUCAACAGACAAAUCUAAUUUGUCAGCAGCAAAUCUAAUCUCAUUAAUUCUUCAACCAAAAUCUCAAGUAUUCAACAGACAAAUCUAAUUUGUCAGCAGCAAAUAUAAUCUUAUUGAAUUCUUCAACCACGCCUAAACUUAGCCGCACUAUUCACCAUAUUUUUCACACUAGCAGCUUCAGUAUUUACUCCCUAUAAAAGGCAUCCUCACUUACCUAAAAUCCUUAGCAGCUGCAAAGAAUUUUAGACGAAACAAGAUCACCAUAUAUAACUCAGCAACAACAACCAACAAACAAAACUUUCAAGGUAUUCACUAUCUCAUUUGCACGCUUCGGUUUAAUUAGGAAUACAGAAUGGUAGAGAACCUACAUAUGCAUAAAUGGACAUAGCAAAUAUAGCAAACCAUUCGUUUCUGUGAUACAUAAUGAGCUAUGAUAUGUUGUAAAAAUAAGAAUACAGAAAACCAAGUUUUCAUUCCAAAAUCAAGUCUUUAUACAAAGUUGAAUUUUCUGUAAAUUAUUCAAAUUUACGAACCUAUCGUGAGUGAUAAAACGAGAGAGAAAGGAUGGUGGAUUGUCGGAGCUCUGCGACUCACGGCGACGGCGACUCCAGGAGAGGCGGCUGCCGGAUUCUUGCUGCCAACGGCAGCGGCUGACGGCGGCGCUCCUCCAGCGAGCUGCUGGCCGUCGAUCGCGGGCCAGCCAGCGGCGACUCCGGGCAAGCCAACGGCGGCGGGAACUCCGAGCAAGACGAACGACCGAAGGCCAGAUCCGUCGACCCCAGGCGAACAGCAGCAGCUCCAGGCGGCCGUGGCGUUG